UUUUUUGUUUUUUCAUUCUUUAUUGAAAAUGUCUCAAUUGUGCGAAAUAGAUCUCAAAACAGUGUGGACAGAGAGAGGACAGAAAGAGAGGAGGUGAAUAUAAAUUAAACAG
This 112-nucleotide non-coding RNA is filed under the name Pteridomonas danica. The record is from RNAcentral. Lineage: Eukaryota; Dictyochophyceae; Pedinellales.